RNAcentral lists this ribosomal RNA (486 nucleotides) under uncultured bacterium. RNAcentral's name for it is "partial 16S ribosomal RNA". It matches the Rfam family "Bacterial small subunit ribosomal RNA", at positions 30 to 507 of the family's 1533-position model. The record is from RNAcentral.
AUUGAACGCUGGCGGCAUGCCUUACACAUGCAAGUCGAACGGCAGCACGGGUGCUUGCACCUGGUGGCGAGUGGCGAACGGGUGAGUAAUACAUCGGAACAUGUCCUGUAGUGGGGGAUAGCCCGGCGAAAGCCGGAUUAAUACCGCAUACGAUCUACGGAUGAAAGCGGGGGACCUUCGGGCCUCGCGCUAUAGGGUUGGCCGAUAGCUGAUUAGCUAGUUGGUGGGGUAAAGGCCUACCAAGGCGACGAUCAGUAGCUGGUCUGAGAGGACGACCAGCCACACUGGGACUGAGACACGGCCCAGACUCCUACGGGAGGCAGCAGUGGGGAAUUUUGGACAAUGGGCGAAAGCCUGAUCCAGCAAUGCCGCGUGUGUGAAGAAGGCCUUCGGGUUGUAAAGCACUUUUGUCCGGAAAGAAAUCCUUGGCUCUAAUACAGUCGUGGGAUGACGGUACCGGAAGAAUAAGCACCGGCUAACUACGUG